RNAcentral lists this long non-coding RNA (7249 nucleotides) under Bemisia tabaci. RNAcentral's name for it is "lncRNA ENSSSA3NGG007016". The record is from RNAcentral. Lineage: Eukaryota; Metazoa; Arthropoda; Insecta; Hemiptera; Aleyrodidae.
CUGAGAACAAAUGAAAAUAAGUUGGUUUUAUUUUCCAAGCUUUUUCCAAGAGGCUCUUUUGGGACCUCACUCCCUAAUAUCUUCUCAUAAUGUUGCAGGCUUUCGGAACUAGUGAUGAAGCCCUCUAACAAUUUCCAGUGGCGAGUGAUUUCCAUUUGAAGCCCGGCCAUCAGUAGAAUCAUUGAUGAUGGUGAAGCAAGCUAUAUUACAGAUGUAUCCUGUCUUGUCUCUAUCUCACUUGAAGGUACCUCAAGAUUUUCCUUCUACUUUUAUGACUGACCGCCAUUUUUGAAACAGUGACAGGAGGAGACUAGCAACUUUUCCGUAAAAUUUCUUUUUUCUUGUUCUGUUUACUUAUAAAGCUACAAUGGGUGGGGGGGGGGAGGGGGGCUCCAUUUAAAGUUUUAUUAUUUUGGUGAUAUGCCUCCCCCUUUGAGCCUGCCGGGGGGGGGGGGGGAAGGAGAGGUAUUGCAGUCUCUUGAAAUUUUUUGGAACAACAAUCCAAAUUGGAAAGUUUUAACUUAAAAAUGAAAGAAAGCUACAAUGUAUCACGUGUUUUUUUGUGUAACCUAGUACCUACACUAACAAUGAGUGGCAAAGAAACUUCUCUAAAUUUGCAGUGCUAAGGAAGAACGCCAUAUGAGCUUUCAGACAUUGCCAUAUUUCCCUCAAUAAAAAACUAACUUUCUGGAAAAUUGUGAAUAUUUUUCUCUAAACUUUUCAGACAAUUUUCUUCGCAAUUUAAUCUUAAAUAUCUGAAAAUUUUAAGGGAACAUAUGUACAACUUUCCUCAAAAUACAUGUUUUUCCGGGAAAAUCUGGCAACUCUUGAAUAUUCAUACGGUGUUCUUGGCAGGAAUUCCACAUUUCGUAUUACAUUGCUCAGAUUAGAGAGAUACUGGAGUUAUUCCUCAAUUCAUCACCGUUUCAAGAGGAUGUUUUGAUAUAAAAUGAUGGGCAUCAAGCUACUGAUAAACACACAUCUGAAGAGAGGGUUUCCUUGUUCCCAGCGAGGUCAGAUACCAGAUUUGUUAUCUCUCUCAUCUACUCUUGCAAUCAGGUGGAAGGAGGACUCUGUUACCUCUGUACCCGUGCUCAUUGUCAGUUUUAAGUGUGAUGUGAAGAAGGUGGUCAUUAUGGAGUUCAAAGAACCUUUCUGGAAAGAUGCUAUUCCCCUCAGUUCUUGCAGAGUUUGCAUCAAAUCUUUCUGCUGUAAACAACAUCGGAUUGCUCACGAGACUGAAGUGCACCCAAGCCAAGUAUCCGAAGUUGAAUCUUUACCAGAAAUAUGCCAGAAAUGUCAUGUCCUCGUGAGUGACUGCAAAGACCUUAAAAGUGAAUGUGUCAAAAUUGUAAGUGUUCCAUUAACAAAUAUCAAUCCAAAUACACCAAUAAUCAAUCGUGUACAUAAGAGAACUUAUGCUCAAAUGAACAUAGCCAAAGAGCGGCGUCCAACACCAAUGCCAACCAAUGCUCAUCCUUUGCGAGCCAAAAGAAAUGCAAAAAGGAAAGCUUGCAAGUCCAAAGAAACCUCCACCAAAGAAAUACUGAAGGAAAAUUCCUCUGAAACAAGUCCUCGAUUUGAAGAAAUCAAGUCCAGUAGCACUCCGAUUCGCAACCACCAUGAUCCUUUGCGGGUGAAAUUACUAAAAAGUAAAAUUGAGGUCCCAAGACAGACUCUAAGUGUGAGUACACGGACUCUGUCACCAUCACCUCAGCGCAAAAGACCAAACUUGUCCAUUGAAAAAAGUUGUCUAAUUUCAAGUGAAGUAAAAAAUGCUGUCUCUGAAUCUCCUCCACAAAACACAAUGGAUAUUUCUGUCUAUGGAACUCCUUGUGCCGAAAUAGUCACUCCAUUUCACUGUCCCAAAAAACACAACGUUCAUUUUACUCACGUCUCUAUUUAUGAAGCAACAAAGUCAAGGGACUCUUCAACUUCUGCUAGCAUGAACUUCAGUGACAACUUUUCAAAAGAAGACAUCAAUGUUGCUGGAGAAGCAGAAAAUGAAUGCGGUGCAUUUGUUCAUUCGAGAGACCAACUAAUGGACGGAAAUCACGCACCUGUUGAAAGUAUUUCCAGAAACAACCCACAGCCAACAGCUAACCUUCAAUGCAUGGAUACAAGUGUAGACAUCUCCAAAAACAUAGUUGCUCUAGCUAAGGACUCUUUGGAAUCAAAUCUCAGGCAAGAUUCUUUGAACUCAUCACCUUGCUCCAACGCUCACACCCACACGAAAACACCAGAUUGCACAGUCUUUUUUCACCUCAUCCCAUCAAAGCUGAUCUAUCUAUCCAUCCUAAUUACAGGCAAGAAUUUGAUUUAUCUCCUUCGGAAUCAGAGUUAGAGUGGAAAUCCUUUUUUGUGGUAGAGAAGACUCCGUCGCCAGCUCAAAUCCCAGGACAUGUUAAAAAUCAUUCAGUGCAAAUCUCUGACAUUGAUCCUGUAGAGAACCAGAUUUUUCCGAACGUCGACAGCAAUGGAGAGCCAAAACCUGAUCAUGUUCCAGUACCCAACAUUCAAGAUUAUGAGGUUGUUUCCAGUGACCCCAUCAAAGCUGAUCUACCUCGAGUUCUGGCAGUUCCAGAUUCUGGGGAAGAAUUUAAUUUAUCUCUUUUGGACUCAGAGUUAGAGUGGAAAUCCUUUUUUGUGGGAGAGAAAACUCCGUCUCCAGCCCAAAUUCCAGGACUGAUCAAAAAUCAUUCAGUGCGAAUCACUGACAUUGAACCUGCAGAGAACCACAUUCUUCCGAACGGCGACAACAAUGAAGAGCCAAAACCUGAUCGUGUUCCAGUACCAAACAUUCAAGAUUACGAGGUUGCUUCCAGUAAUCCUUUAAAGACAACGGGAAGUGUCUCAAUGGCAGACAAGUCAACCAGCAAUCAAAUCAGCAGCAGCAGUGUCAGAUGUGUCACUGAAUCUUACGAUGCUGAUCAUGAGGCUGGCAGCGUGAUUUGUACGGAUGAAAAUAAGGUGAUGGAACCAAAGUCAAACCCUGCUCAAGUGUCACACUUUUAUCUUGAUGACUCUCAAUUUAAACUCGUCAAUUGUCACAGCACUCCAAUGGUGCCAGCUAUACUGCGAUUGAAUACAUCUUUGGAUGAGUCUGUCUCCUUCAACAGAGAAAAUUGUCUGUCUGAUUCAGGCACUCCAGGUCAAACACGUCUCAUAGGAUUCGCCAAGAAAGGUAUCAAAUCGCUGUUUCCUUCUCUCUUCAAGCAAAGAAGGAGCAAGAGCGCAGAAGAUUUGUCCUCAUUGGUCUCAAAGAGUCCGCUCGUUACAAGUGGAUCAGUCCUCUCAAAAGUUCGAAUUUUCAUUCUCCUCUGUCCACUUCAGUGAGAAACGUCCAAACUACCACUACUGUCUGCGUGAGCGAGGAAACUUCUACUUCUGCUGAGCAGACGGCAGCUUUAAGUGCUGUUUUGAAGAGAAAGCCUAUUUGGGGAUGGCCAAAACGCCGCCGGCCCAUCCGGGAAAAACAACCCCCUCGUUUCUCUGAAGACUGAAAGACUGAAGUAGACAUUGUUAGUAAGUCAUUUUUUACGCAAAUUCCCUCACAAUAGUUCAUGUGGCUGAAAAAGAAUGCCAGUAAAGGGAAAGUGAAAUUUUUAAUACUAAUUUUAAACUGUACAAAAUAAUUUAGGAUAAAUAAUGCUCUAAUAGUAAGUUUAAUUUUUAAAGAUUGAGAUUAGUUUUUCAAUUUUUAAUGUGUUCAGUCAUUUUAAGAUUUUAUCUAACAUAAUGCCAAAGUAUUUCAAUGAGGUAGCUUUUUCAAAGAUUUUGUCCUAUCGCAUCAAAGUAGGAAAAACUGUGAAAAACAAGAAAGUUAAUUUACCAGAGUUUGUCAGUUAUAUUGUAGAGUAUAUAGUUAACUAUAAUGUACGAAUCAAUCUCGAGAAUUUCAAGGAGUUUGUCACUAAUAACAUAAAGAAUAUCAUUAGCAAAUAAAGACAAAAUUUUGUUCACACUAACUUUAAGUUUCAAAGGGAAAAUACAAUCAUUCACAAAUAUAAGAAAUAAAACAGGGCCUAAGACUGACCCCUGAAAUACUCUAAAAAGAAAUUCCAACAAAGAGGAAAUAUAUUCCUAAAUUUUAUUAUUUAUUACAACGCAUUUUUUUUAUUUCUCUCUUAUUGUAACUCUUAUCUACUGUAAACUUAUCCAGUCCAAGCCUUAGCAACCUCAAGCACUCAAAGUUAAUGGGAUCAAGAUCCUUUGAAAGAUCGAAUACUGUAGUAACAGUGGCUCAAUUAAUUGUAUUGUUUUCAGCAAUUUUCUCAACUGCUGUUUUUAUAGCCACGUCCUUGGACAUAUCCUGUCUAAAAUUAAAUUGCAUGUUAUGAAGGUAUUGUUUGCCUGCAGGUACUUAUGUAAUUAUUUUAUUGCUAAUGACAAUUUCAAAAACUUUGGAAAUAGAUGAAACAAGAGACAGAGGUCUAUAGUUACUUAAGAUCCUACGAUCACCUUUUCUGAAGAGGGCAUACUUUGAUGGGGUGGGAAAUCACAAGAUGUUAAUGAGAAAUUUAAUAAGCAAACUAGACUGGGCGCUAGUUCUUCUUUGCAUUCUUUCAAAACCAGUUAUUGUUACCGUCAUGACCAACUCAUUCGCCAUUUUUUAAUUUAUCAAUUGCUCUCAGAAUCUCAUAGCUAUUUGUCUUACCUAAUUUAAAAGUAAUUGCUCGCGUGAUUACUACAAAAUUCAUUUUAAUAGGAGUCUCAUGAACAUAAUUGCAAAAGUGAACUGAAGAAUAGUAAUUCAUUGACAGUUCGGCUUCAUUUUGAAGUUAGGGAAAAAUUAGGCAGCAGUGUAUCUCGUAUUCAACUCUUGUUGUACUAAUGCAUUCAAUAUUGUUCUAUGACCCACAGGUCAACUUUGCAAGUGUAAUAAAUUUUCGCAAAUGAUCUUUGCAUACAGAUAUGUAGAUUUUUAUACAGGUUUCCAUCGGUUCAAACUAUUAACAGCUUUAAAGAGCAUGGCUGACUUUUGAGCAAUAAUCACAAUUUUUAAAGGAAGUAAACGAUUUGUACCAUUAAGUUCUUGACCUAGCAUUUUCUUUAUAAAACAAAAAUAGAAGGAUGGCAGCGUUCUCCAUAUUUCUAUCGAAUAGAAAAGUAGAAAACUCAAGCACUACAUGUUGCUUGUGAAAAUCGACCAUUUUAAAAAAUGUUGCCGUUGCCAUACACAGCUUCCUAAAAGUUUUGAGAAAACAAGACUCAAUGUGCUUAAAUGUAGCUAUUUAACCCAAAUGGGUAUUCAACAUAGGUUUCAUUUUGUUUCACCUCUAAGCAGCAGAACUUAAAAUUUUGACUCAUUGCCACAUAACAGCAAUAUUUCGGGGUUUUUGUCCCCCUUGCGUAAGCAAUUAUUCUCCCUACAACAAAAGAGCUUUUAAGAAUUGGAUCUGAAUUUGAAAUUUUAAAAAUAGAAAGAAAUCAAUUGAGUUAAUGAGAUAAAAUACAAGGAUAUUAGUACAAAGGAUCACAUUUAAUAUUGAGAAUAAAAACGACUGAGCAAUGAAUUUGAACCUCGAGGCUCAAUACAGAUCUGUAAAAUAAAUUAUGCAAACUCAAUGAUGAGAGCAUAUACCAGAUUAUUCAAGAGUCAAAAUUAACACAAAAAUUAAAUAGUUUAAAUUGGAUCUGAAUUUGAAAUUGGUCGAAAUACUACAAAAAUUAUAUAUUUAUUCAAGUUCAUUCACAUUAGAAAACAUCGAAUUCUUAUCAAGUAAUAGAAAUAAAGGUUUAUAUCAAACAUUAUGAAAAAAGUGUCAUCACACUAAUGCAGAAUUUACUAUCAAAAUAUGUAAGCGGUUGUAAUUUUUUUUACUGUGAACCCAGUGUCUUCUGGCCAACUUUGAAGCAAUAAAUUACCUACUUAGCUCUUUCAGAGGGAGAAAGUCAUGUACUUAAUCGAGUUUUUGAUGAAAAAUGUUGUUUAUGAACAUCACGCAAAGGGUUGAUAGAGUCUUGUCACAUUUCUAUCAGGUAGGUAACCAAACUGGAGCACUUGAUGCUCAUGAAAAUCACCUUUAAUCCAAUCGCUAGACACUGCAUGCGCAAAAGUCUUGCCAAUAUUGAACUAAACGUUCUACAAAGUUGCAAUUUAGCUCAUCUGGUUCAUACACACUUAGUAAGUAUACCUCAAACAAGAGGAAAAGAUUAUUCAAUAUACUAUUUGUGAAAGAAGAAGCCCUCUGUGAAGAACCCUUAUUCAUUAAAAGGUAAAGGCACUUUCAAAACACAGGAGACCUAUUGCAACUGCUGUCAUACGAUUCCAGGUACACACCGAGCGCAUUGUCAUGAAAUGGAUUACCUAAUUGCAUUUUGCAAUAAGGAACCACAAUCUCUGACUCCUCUAUAAAAGCACCUUUCAUGCUGUUUCCAAAAUGAGUUAGAAAUAGUGGUUCCUUAAUGCAAAAUGUGGUCCAAAUAGUGAGAAGCUAAAGAGGAUCUUCUCCUACCUUUUGGGAUAGAAAUAAGUUAGAAACCAAAGAUUUAAAAAUUUCAUUUGUCAAAAUAUGUGUUUAACCCCCCUUAAAACGACCCUAGUAGCAUUAGCACGUAUUUCUUUACAAUUUUCUGAAAAUUUUGCAAGAAUUUAAUUGCGAUUUUAUUGAGAUGAGAUUUCGAUUACAUUCCAAUUAAAUCUUCUUGAAGUCACCUUUUUAUUUGAAUUUAAUAGCGAUUAAAUACUUAUUAAAUUUCAAUUAUGUUGAGAUGGUAUCUGGAUUUUAUCAAAAUUAAAUAAAAAUAUUUUUUUACUUGGUAAUCUCAAAUUAGGAGUUGAAUAAGGAAAAACGUUCAAAUUGCACUGAAGCAGUUUCAGAAAAGCACUGUUACCCAAGUGCCACAUAUCAAAAUGAAAUCCACAGCUCAUUUUUGUUAAUUGACGAUUUGCACUACUGGCAUGAAGGUGCAUUAACUGUGCAAGAGGCAGCAAUCUUGGGUGUGAAGGUUGCGCACCUUAUGAAUAAUCCCGAUAAAGUACGAAUGUUAUUUCUAUAAUUUCCUGAUUUUUGUUUUUUUUUGUGUUAGAUAUUUUUAAAUGAGUAAAUACGUGUUCAAUUCCAAUUUAAAAGACAUGAUUUUUCAAUUUCAUCGCUAUAAAAAAAAUAAAAUAAAUGGGAAUAAAAAUUGAAUAUUGAUUGCAUAAAAUUGCUACAAAAUCGCUACAAAAUUGAAAUUUUUUUUUUUUAAAAAGUCGAGAUCAAAUUGAAGUAAAAUCGCGAUUAAAUUGACAUUUUCCUCCAAU